AUGCAAGUCGAGCGGAAAGGCCCUUCGGGGUACUCGAGCGGCGAACGGGUGAGUAACACGUGAGCAACCUGCCCUAGGCUUUGGGAUAACCCCGGGAAACCGGGGCUAAUACCGAAUAUGACCUCCGAUCGCAUGGUUGGUGGUGGAAAGUUUUUCGGCCUGGGAUGGGCUCGCGGCCUAUCAGCUUGUUGGUGGGGUGAUGGCCUACCAAGGCGACGACGGGUAGCCGGCCUGAGAGGGCGACCGGCCACACUGGGACUGAGACACGGCCCAGACUCCUACGGGAGGCAGCAGUGGGGAAUAUUGCACAAUGGGCGGAAGCCUGAUGCAGCGACGCCGCGUGAGGGAUGACGGCCUUCGGGUUGUAAACCUCUUUCAGCAGGGACGAAGCGUAAGUGACGGUACCUGCAGAAGAAGCGCCGGCCAACUACGUGCCAGCAGCCGCGGUAAGACGUAGGGCGCGAGCGUUGUCCGGAUUUAUUGGGCGUAAAGAGCUCGUAGGCGGCUUGUCGCGUCGACCGUGAAAACCUGGGGCUCAACCCCAGGCCUGCGGUCGAUACGGGCAGGCUAGAGUUCGGUAGGGGAGACUGGAAUUCCUGGUGUAGCGGUGAAAUGCGCAGAUAUCAGGAGGAACACCGGUGGCGAAGGCGGGUCUCUGGGCCGAUACUGACGCUGAGGAGCGAAAGCGUGGGGAGCGAACAGGAUUAGAUACCCUGGUAGUCCACGCUGUAAACGUUGGGCGCUAGGUGUGGGGGGCCUCUCCGGUUCCCUGUGCCGCAGCUAACGCAUUAAGCGCCCCGCCUGGGGAGUACGGC
RNAcentral lists this ribosomal RNA (815 nucleotides) under Micromonospora sp. RNAcentral's name for it is "bacterial SSU rRNA". It matches the Rfam family "Bacterial small subunit ribosomal RNA", at positions 55 to 886 of the family's 1533-position model. The record is from RNAcentral. Lineage: Bacteria; Bacillati; Actinomycetota; Actinomycetes; Micromonosporales; Micromonosporaceae.